Molecule: ribosomal RNA, 773 nt
Filed under: uncultured Neocallimastigales
Lineage: Eukaryota; Fungi; Neocallimastigomycota; Neocallimastigomycetes; Neocallimastigales
Description: partial large subunit ribosomal RNA
Rfam family: Eukaryotic large subunit ribosomal RNA
Source: RNAcentral
AAGAGAGAGACAUGCGCGCAUAUCAAUAAGCGGAGGAAAAGAAACUAACAAGGAUUCCCCUAGUAACGGCGAGUGAAGCGGGAAGAGCUCAAAUUUGAAAGUCUUAAAGGGUUUCCCUUUACGAAUUGUAGUUUAAAGAAGUGUUUUCUGUUGAGGUUUUGGUAAAAGUUCUUGGAAUAGGACAUCAUAGAGGGUGAGAAUCCCGUAUUUGACCUUUACUUUCAACUUUGUGAUACACUUUCAAAGAGUCGGAUUGUUUGGGAAUGCAGUCCAAAAUGGGUGGUAAAUUUCAUCUAAAGCUAAAUAUUGGCGAGAGACCGAUAGCGAACAAGUACCGUGAGGGAAGAUGAAAAGAACUUUGAAAAGAGAGUUAAACAGUACGUGAAAUUGUCAAAAGGGAAGCGUUUGACACCAGUGUUGUUUUUCUGAAAAUCAAUUAAAGAACUGUUUAUGCUAAGUUGUUUAGACUUUAUCAGCUAUCUGUUUAGUUUUGAGCUUUUCUUUAAUGCACUUUUCAGUUAACAAGUCAACAUCAACUUCUUUUGCUGUAAAAAAGCUUGAGGAAGGUGGCUUGAGAUUCGUCUUAAGUGUUUAUAGCCUCUUGCCUAUGCAGUCGGAGAGAUUGAGGUCUGCAGCGUAGAUCCUUCGGGGCUAAAUGCAUUUGUGCUAAGUUAUAGCAUUUUAUAGACAACUUGUUGACUAUGAUUUGUCUUGUAGCUUACUCGCUAUGUCAUUCUACCUACGCUUAGGAUGUUGACGCAUGAGAUAUACGC